RNAcentral lists this ribosomal RNA (514 nucleotides) under uncultured bacterium. Its description in RNAcentral is "bacterial SSU rRNA". It matches the Rfam family "Bacterial small subunit ribosomal RNA", at positions 34 to 507 of the family's 1533-position model. The record is from RNAcentral.
CGCUGGCGGCGUGCCUAAUACAUGCAAGUCGAACGCACUCUCGUUUAGAUUGAAGGAGCUUGCUCCUGAUUGAUAAACACUUGAGUGAGUGGCGGACGGGUGAGUAACACGUGGGUAACCAGCCCUAAAGUGGGGGAUAACAUUUGGAAACAGAUGCUAAUACCGCAUAAAACCCAACACCGCAUGGUGUAGGGUUGAAAGAUGGUUUCGGCUAUCACUUUAGGAUGGACCCGCGGUGCAUUAGUUAGUUGGUGAGGUAAAGGCUCACCAAGACCGUGAUGCAUAGCCGACCUGAGAGGGUAAUCGGCCACACUGGGACUGAGACACGGCCCAGACUCCUACGGGAGGCAGCAGUAGGGAAUCUUCCACAAUGGACGAAAGUCUGAUGGAGCAACGCCGCGUGAGUGAAGAAGGUUUUCGGAUCGUAAAACUCUGUUGUUGGAGAAGAAUGUAUCCGAUAGUAACUGAUCAGGUAGUGACGGUAUCCAACCAGAAAGCCACGGCUAACUACGUG